RNAcentral lists this ribosomal RNA (253 nucleotides) under uncultured bacterium. RNAcentral describes it as "partial 16S ribosomal RNA". It matches the Rfam family "Bacterial small subunit ribosomal RNA", at positions 524 to 776 of the family's 1533-position model. The record is from RNAcentral.
UACGUAGGGGGCUAGCGUUGUCCGGAAUCAUUGGGCGUAAAGCGCGCGUAGGCGGCCAGAUAAGUCCGGUGUGAAAGUCACAGGCUCAACCUGUGAAUGCCGCUGGAAACUGUCUGGCUUGAGUCCGGAAGGGGCGAGUGGAAUUCCUGGUGUAGCGGUGAAAUGCGCAGAUAUCAGGAGGAACACCGAUGGCGAAGGCGGGUUGCUGGGCCGACACUGACGCUGAGGCGCGAAAGCUAGGGGAGCGAACGGG